CCUACGGGUGGCAGCAGUAGGGAAUCUUCCACAAUGGGCGCAAGCCUGAUGGAGCAACACCGCGUGAGUGAAGAAGGGUUUCGGCUCGUAAAGCUCUGUUGUUGGAGAAGAACGUGCGUGAGCGUAACUGUUCACGCAGUGACGGUAUCCAACCAGAAAGUCCCGGCUAACUACGUGCCAGCACCCGCGGUAAUACGUAGGUGGCAAGCGUUAUCCGGAUUUAUUGGGCGGAAAGCGAGCGCAGGCGGGAGGUUAGGUCUGAUGUGAAAGCCUGCGGCUUAACCCCAGAAGUGCAUCGGAAACCGGGGGGCUUGAGUGCAGGAGAGGACAGUGGAACUCCAUGUGUAGCGGUGGAAUGCGUAGAUAUAUGGAAGAACACCAGUGGCGAAGGCGGCUGACUGGACUGCAACUGACGCUGAGGCUCGAAAGCAUGGGGAGCGAACAGGAUUAGAUACCCCUGUAGUC
This 465-nucleotide ribosomal RNA is filed under the name uncultured bacterium. RNAcentral describes it as "partial 16S ribosomal RNA". It matches the Rfam family "Bacterial small subunit ribosomal RNA", at positions 338 to 795 of the family's 1533-position model. The record is from RNAcentral.